AGAGUAAGAAGCUGUCUCUGAGGAAGGUGGGUGUAAGUGACCUGCUUCCGCAUCCACCUAGGUGCGUUUGUGUCUACUUUCCCAUCAGUUCAUUGCUCUGACCAAUACUUGCCAACACAACCAUGAGCAAACCUGGCAAAUGGACUGUCUUGGUCAAACUGGAAGCACAGGUUCCAGAAUAUUUUGAGCAACACUGGUGGGGCCACUUGUCAUCAACUCCAGAGGCAAGCAAAGAGCUCUCUGCCUACUUCUUCCGUCCUAUCAGAUUACACCUUUGAAAUUGGACCUGGCUGUUAAAACUCCAUGAGCUUGUCAGUAUACCCAAGGUUCUCUAACUUAAAAAAAUAAACUCUGCA
Bos taurus (domestic cattle) is the source of this 356-nucleotide long non-coding RNA. NCBI's taxonomy places the organism in Eukaryota, Metazoa, Chordata, Mammalia, Artiodactyla, Bovidae. The record is from Ensembl.